This 3690-nucleotide long non-coding RNA is filed under the name Manihot esculenta (cassava). Its description in RNAcentral is "long non-coding RNA (MESC_LNC010695)". Lineage: Eukaryota; Viridiplantae; Streptophyta; Magnoliopsida; Malpighiales; Euphorbiaceae. The record is from RNAcentral.
UUUCUCUAUAUAGGAAAAAUAUUUAAAUUCAUAUUCAAACAAGUGCCUUGCAUACAUAUGUAACAAGGCAGGUCUAGUAGCAUUUUCUGUUUCUCUCCAACGAUUUGGUCAAAUCUUCAGAUGCUUUCUUAAGGGAAAUAGCCAGUAAAUUAGAAACUUACUGGGAAAAAUAGUGACAGAUUCCGAGUACUGUUGUAGAUUCCCUCAAUUACUUUUAUAUUAUUUUCUUCUAAUUUAUUCCAAAUUGAGGUUCUAUGCAGAGUCAAGGAACAUGGUAGGUAAAUUAGAACCAAUGGUGCAGGCGUGCAGCAUGAUUUGCUCAAUGUGGAGACUCACCAGGAAGGUAAUGGUAAACCAUCUUAAGUCUUUUUCUAUUAACUUGUUUGCUUGCAAGUAAGAACUUGCUAUUUUUUUUUUCUAUGCAAGUGUUUCAAAAGCUUGAGUUUAUAGCAAAUGUUUUGAUAAAUUCUUCAUUUGUUACUUUUUCCGGGCAGUGUAUACUAAUAUGAAAAGUUGGUAACGCAGGUAACCAACUAGUAUUUUUAACUCCAAAAAUACUAUUUGUCUGGUUUUCAUUGACAUGAAUAACUAUUUCGAGAAACUAAAUCCUGCAAGUUUUUCCCCAGAAAUUGUGAAACGAGUGCAAUUUGUUUGAUAGAAGUAUUCAAGUGACCAACCUCUAAGAUGCUUAAGCCAUCUGAAAAGACAAAAGCACCAACCUAGAAUAUCUUACCAAAGUUGGACUGUUCUGCUUGGGAAAGAAAAGAGCAGUAAGGCCUUGUAACAUGGUUUCAAAUCGCGGUCGCGGCCACGUUCGCGGUCGUGGGUAAUGGAAACAGACCUGUAACGGCCGUAACGUAACGGUAACGGCCUGACGUUACGCAAAUUUUUUAAAAAAAUUUGCAAAGUUCAUAAAUAAAAUGAUAUUGAUUAGAUUUGAUUCAGAACAAUGUAUACAAAUGCAUAAUAAACAUAAAUAUAUAAAAUAUAGAUUAUUUAACUUAUGUUAAACAUCAUAUAUAGUUUAAAAAAAGAAAAAUCUAACAUAAUCUUUGUAGAUUGAGUAAAUUAAUAGCUCAAAGUACAAUUUUAACUCAAACUAACACUUUAAUCCAUAAAAACUUAUAAAAAAAGGAAAAAAAACAACAAUUAAAAACUAAAAUAGAUAAAAUCUAACCAACUUUUUAAAAGAAAUAAGCUUGGAAAUAGAAUAGUUUAUAAUGGAUCUAAUUUUAUACGAGAAAUAUGCAGGGAAGAUUGAAAUUUGAAAGAGAAAGGGAAGAGAAAACUGAAAAAAUAUAGUCUUUAAAGCUGCUGAAAAGUGUAGAAGAAUAGGGAGCAGAAGAUAAAGAAUAUAAAAGAAUUUUUAAUUAUUGGUAACUGCCGUUACCGUUAGUAAUUGCCGUUACCAUUACAUAACGGCUGUUACGCUUGCAACAUAAUUAUUUAAAACCAUGCCUUGUAAGGCCUUUAGCAGGAAAAUCAUACAUAUACUACAAUAGUUAAGUGCAGGUUUUCAUUGAGCUUUUUUAGGUGCUUCUCAAACAGGUAUUGGUCAGAUUCAUAUGACGGAUGCUUAAGACAAAUGGAAAAGAAAAAGAUUUAUGCGACCCAUAGCUGUUGCAUGCCUUCAUAAGAAAAGUUCUCUUACCAAUUUGAUGUAGCAUGCACAAACUAAGAUGCUAUCUAGUUACCUGUAUGACUUAGUAAGCAGAAUUGGUCAAUACUUGAAAUUUCCCAAAAAAAAAUUGAUAGAAAACACUCAAAAUGGCCUUACAAUUCAAUCUUUCUUAUUUAUUUCAGGAUGAUGUUCUAGUUAGCGACUCUAUUGUUUGAUAAAUGGUACCUGUGAGUGAAUGACUUGUCCAAAUCUGAGAAAUUUCAACUUUCUGUGUCAUUACCCAUUGUAUGCCAUAUAAAUUAUUGGUUUAAACAACUUGGUGGUUUGUAAGACACGCAAAUUCCCAACUUUAAUUCUGUAAAAUAUGUUUUGAAAGCAUGAUCUACUUUCAUUUGAUUGGAAGUUGAUCCAGUUUUCAGAAAAUUUUACAGAAUUAAAUUUCAACUUGCUGUGUCAUUACCCAUUGUAUACCAUAUAAAUUCUUUGUUUAAACAACUUGUUGGUUUGAAAGACAUGCAAAUUCCCCUACUUUAAUUCUGUAAAAUAUUUUCUGAAGGCUUGAUCUACUUUCAUUUGAUUGGAUUCCUUGUAGUCAUUACUUUUUUUUAUGAAAUAUCUCUACAAUGACAUAAAUAGUUGCGUAAUGCACGUUAUUAAUCAAUGUAGAUGUAUACAUACUAAUUUAUAUAUGAUUUCGUUGACCAUUGCAUGUGUCUCUGUUCAAAGCAUUACAAUUUCAACUGCUGCUGCUAUUUUUUUCCGAUGCUUGAAGCCUUAAAUUGUUAAUUCCUUUAAGGUUACCUAGAAACUUCUCAAAACUAUACUACUUAUAAGUUGAACCAUGAAACCUAAUAAUAUCUUUAGGAAUCUUCAAAAAUACUGACAUGAAGCUAGAAAAUCUUCAGAGUUGGACUGUUAUGCUCCAGGUAGUGUAGGUGUAAUUGACAAAUAGAAAUUCUUUUAAAGUUGAUCUAAUUGUAGUUCAUUUGGCUAAUAAAAUAAAAAAUUUCAACAAUCUUUUGUUAGUGGGCAAAUGUCUGUUUGCACAUGUACAUGUAAUGGAAGAUUCUUCUGCACAUGUUUCUGACUUCUUCGUUGAUUCUCAAUUUCAGAUAUUUGAUAUAUAUGAACACUGCUAUAGAAAAUGCUUAGUGCAUUUCCUUCCAUAAAAGUCUAUUCUUUUAUGAUUAACAACAUCCUAUCAAGUUAUAUUUCAAUGCGCCCUUGGUUAGUCCAGUUUGAAACUGCUGAACUGAUUAGCUUAACUGCUAGUGUUAGAGCCUUGGAGGUAGCUUAAUGGCAAAUAAAUCCAAGCAGAAUUUUAUGCAAAUAGUUGCACACUUGAGUUGCAGAAUUUUAUGCGAGAUCAGAUCAUGAAAUGAGUUGCACACUCGAUACAUUAAAUGACAAACAGAAAACCAUGUAAACCGCAGAAAAUGGCAACAAAUCUGCCCAAAAAAAAAAAAAAGAAAUGAAAGAAAGAUCAUUCUUCUACCUAUAGACAGAUCCAUAACUUUGCAUGUUCUGGUCAUUGCUGUAUCCUUAUUUGUAUGCCUUACAUUAUUUGUUGCUGAUAUGCACUAAAUCUUGUAAAAGAUCACAAUGGAGAAACUUGGUUUCACUUGCUUGCCGUUUUCUUCGGUACUUUACCUACCGAUAAGAUACUUCUUUCCCAGUGAGUGUUCUUCCAUCUAAUAAAAUAAACCUGUGGGAAAUGAGAAAGAUUUGUUCCCUGUUUCUCCAGCAUGAUCAUCUUGUUUAAUUCAUCAGGCAUGUCAAAAAAUUUGAUUGUUUUGAGGUUUUUGAGGUGUUCGAUACAGGAUGGUCCUUCCUCCAACAAUUGGCAGCGACUAAUGGUAAGUUCUCUGAGUAAGGGCAUUGCCCCUUCCUCCACAUGCAAACAUCUAAGUUCUUCCAACUCCUCAAGAAAUAAUAUGUUCAGCCUCUGAAAGCUUCCAGCCUUGAAACUCAAUGCUUGUCCAUCAUAUGCUUGACGAAGUUGAAGUUCUACCAGAUUUGGCAAAUCUCCAAGGGACUCGCACAGGUUGUCCUUCAAGUGGCUGCACCUC